GCUAAAUUAUAAAUUUUAAUUUGAUGUGUUAAAUAGGUAUUGUUGUAAAAAUCUUAAUAUUUCAAUACUUCUUGCACAAUUUUAAUACAAGUUAAACAGUUUUAAUGUAUUUAGCAAUAAUAUAAACCUACAUUGUUUCUGGUUCUAGGCAGAUUUUUAAUUAAUGUUGUAAACGGGAACCAAGAAGUUCUGCUUUAGAUCUAAAUAAUUGUAAAUCGUGAUAAAUUGUAAAAAAGUAAAUUAGAUCAUUUAAUUCAGUUUGUUCAAUUAAAUGUGGUAUAUUUUCUUGAAGUGAGAACUCGUAAGAAUCACUAGAAAUUGAUUUGAAUUCAACAUCACUUUCAUUGUCAUCUAGUAUGUUUGUACCCGAAUUACUGGGACAAACUGUGUGUGGUAAAUCUUUCAAAUGUAAUAUGGGCCUAGUAACAGACGGAACUUCGGCAUGUAUAAUACUUGCCUAAUUUUUUUUAUUAUAUCCCAAUGUCUUCGUAACACAAAAGUAACAAUCAUAUUUUUACCAUGAUUACUAGGUUCUCUCCAUAGCAUUGUUGAAUCAAAUGAAUGGUAAACGUUUUCUCCUAAUGACCACUGGAGCAAUAUGAUUCUACAGCUUUCGCAAAACAUAUGCACCACCCACUUUUUGUCCUGAUUUGUAACAGGAAAUCCAAAAUAAUGAAGAUAUGCACUUUUCAACUAAUCUACAAUGGAUCUUUUCUUUUUUGAAAGUAUAAACUGCUCACAAACAUAAAAACGAUCAGAAUUUUGUUUACACUUUUUACUCGACAUUUUAAAUCAAUUUGAAACAAAAUAAUUAUCAUUUGAACAGAUGAAUAAACAAUAAACUGUCGUCAACACGUUAAGUAGUUAAAAAAAAAACAUUUGACUGUAGGAAGUAAUUAUGACGUGUUAAACUAUUUAUGCUAAUACUUUUAGGUUUAAGGAAUGUAGAUUAAAAUAUUUUUAAUACAUUUAUUUCGGAGUAUAUAAAUAAGUUCAAUUUUGUAAACUAAUGUAAUUAACUAAUUAUUAAGAGGUCUUUCACAUUUUUUGCACAAAACAACGUAAAUCAGAGAUUUUAGGUUUCUGGUUCUAAACAAUUAAGGUUUUAUACAUUUUAAUUCCUGAAUUAUAUAGAUACAUGUCUAAUCUUAAAAACAGAAUUUUUAAAUUGUUACAUUUCUUUUUAUUAUGUACUCAUUUCUUCCUGAUUUCUAAAGUCGUUUAAAAUGUUAAGAGACUGAAGUUUGGGGUCGUCGUUCAAUAAUGAAGAAACAUAAAAAUGGUAUUAUAUCGUUAUUAAAACUUGUUAAUUAUUCUAUAAAUUGAGAGUGAUAUAUUUUUUUUUAUUUUCAACACAAAUACCUAAGUAAAUUGAACAUAACUGAACCCAACUUUUUACCAAAACUUCCAAAAUCAUUUCAAAAUUUCUCAAAAAUACUACGAUAAAUUUGCAUAAAAAAUACAUAAUCAAAGAGUUAAUAUAUUUGUAUUCAAAUAUAAUAAAAAAAUCAUAAGUUACUAGGUAAAAAUUUUGGAAUAAUAAUAAUUUAAUGCUGUAUAAAUAUUGUUUCGUCAAACGUGAAGACACACUAUCGCGCUAGCGCUUGUCAAGAAAUUAGCUCUGUCAUUUUGCGACAUGGCUACGACACGAUGCCCGUACGCAUUUGACGUUGUGAACAACACUAUAGCGUGACUACCCAAUUUUAAUACCCAUGCCAAAAAAAGUACAGUUCUCCGACAAAAAGCAAUAUCCAGCUACACUAAGAAAAGCGCAAGAAGCAAGAAAGAAAAAGGAUUUAAUGAACGAUUCUAAUAAGGUUUGAUUUUUAUCUCCAGUAUCUAAUCACCACAACAAUUUUAAAUUUCCUAUUAAAACUAUGUGUAAUUUUAACAUUUUAUUUUUUUUAAGACGCACACAAAUGCUUCUUUAUAAAUAUAAUCUCACCAAAAUAUAAAAUGUAAAAGUUGUGUGAUCUCAUAUAAAACUAAGUCAGUUUUAUUUAUAGUGACCAUAUCAAAUUAGAUAUCUUUAUUUCUAUAAUAAUUAUAAUUACUGAGCAUUUGGAUGGUAACAUAUUCUACUAAUAAAAUACUUUAAAUCUAAAUAUGUAUUCUUUAGAUUUUUUAUGCAAUUCAACAACUUAAUAUUUCAAAUAUAUAGACAUCGUCUAGUUGCAAUUUUAUUAUAUUACUAAGAUUACCUAUCUUUUUACCAUAAAAUUUUUGAAAUCUAAGUAAAUUUAAUGAAUUUUAUUUUUAAUAAAUCUUUGUUUUACUUUCACUUAAAAUGCGAUACAAUAUAUUUAUUUAUUUAAUUUACACUUUAUUGCACCAUUUAUAAAAUAAUAAAAAGGAAUAUAAAAGGCGGCCUUAUUGCUAAGCAAUCUCUUCCAGACAACCUUUGGGUAGAGGACAUAGACAAUAUGGUUAUUAUAUUUAAGAUUAUUUUAUUUUGUCUAUAUUAUUUGCUUACUAAAAUAAAAUAUUUGAAACAAGUAAAUAUGGCAAUAAUGUAUCAAACUAUUGUAUUUAAAUUAUCUUGAAUUUAUUGUUUGUAAUUUUUGUAUGAUAUUUUUAAUAAUUAAUGCAAUAAAAAGUAUUAAUAAAUAAAUUAUGUUUUAAUAAUUUCAUCUUCCUGUUCUUAAUCCAAUUUUUUUAAUAAUAAAGAUUUAUUGCAAUUAAAAAUAUACAGUCAUGGGCUUACUGUAAUUUUAAAGUGAAUGUAUUAAAUGUAACAUUAUGCCCAGCACAGUAGUGUCUAAAUUAGAGCUAGCCUGUAUCUUAGAUUCCAAUGCUUUCAAUUACAUACAUAUUUUCGUGCAGUUUCGCUAUAUUAUAAUAGUACAAAUUUCAGUAAACAACAUAUUUUAUAUUAGUAAAAUAGGGUAUCUUUAAAAUAAAUUAUAAUGUAUCGAAAAAUGUGCUAUUAUUAGUAAAAUAGAUGUCGUGCUCUGCAUUGUUCAACUGGUGAUUAGUGCGAUUAAAAAUGAGACAGGUGAGACCAAUAUAAAUGUUUUUUUUUUCAAUUGAUUUUUUUCCUAAUAUAAUUUUAUUUUCUGUGAUAGCUGAAGAUUAUAUCAUUUUACAAUUCAUUUGUAUAUUUCAAACAAAUACACAAUUAUAUACAUAGAUUAAAUAGAUAAAUUCAUACAUCUUCACAAAUACACAGUUGCACUACUUGGCACCAGAACGAUAUAUAGGUAGCGAUUGGAAAUGGACAAAGAUACGGGAAACGUUAGGGCAAAAACUAUUAUCCAUGCCCUCCAUGCAAUAAUACUACCAUAUAAAUAGCGUAAUGUUUUUAUAUAGCUAUGCAGCUAUACAAAUAGUCAUAUCUCAACUCCAAAUAUUAUUUAUUCCCGUACAUUAAUACACUCGUACAUAGGUUAAUAAAAUUAAGUCAUACAAAAUAGUUUUUCCGUUUUAUCAUAAUCUAGGGGUUUUAACCAAGGUACUAACUUAUUCAUAAUUUGAUAAUUAUUGGGGUUGAAUAUGUUUUACCCAUACUACCUAAGAUUUUGGCUUUUAGGAUUAGCCGUUUCCCUGAUGUCAACCAUACCAAAUUCGCUACACGUUUAUUUGCGUCUGUGCAAAUCAAUGCGCGACCAAACUUUCAAAUAUCAUUUUGUAAUAGUCCUCUUAAUAUGAAAUUUUAAUUUUUUGUAAAGCGCAUAUUAAACGUUAUUUAAUGUUUACUGGAUGUAUGAAUUCAGUUUAUUUUUAUUUAUUUAAACGUUAUUGACUAAUAAAAUAUGGCACAAAAGUCCGUUAUUUAUUAUGUAGGUGUGUUUGUGAAUAUUUCGUGCAACAUAAUGUCUUCAAUAGUUUAAUGCACGUAUGAGAUGUUGGCUAACAUAAGCAUAGAAUAAAUAAGGCAUAAAUGAAUUAUUAGCCACUGUGUCACGAUUUUUUUUUAAGAUUCUGAAUUCUAAAUGAGAACUCUUAAAAAAUGCAGGCGUAUUUUUUUGAGUCAACUAUCACAGUAUUUACAUUAUAUAAA
Molecule: long non-coding RNA, 4000 nt
Organism: Galleria mellonella (greater wax moth)
Lineage: Eukaryota; Metazoa; Arthropoda; Insecta; Lepidoptera; Pyralidae
Exons: 3
Source: RefSeq, a predicted model, not a curated record